This 723-nucleotide ribosomal RNA is filed under the name Pantoea brenneri. RNAcentral describes it as "bacterial SSU rRNA". It matches the Rfam family "Bacterial small subunit ribosomal RNA", at positions 22 to 735 of the family's 1533-position model. Lineage: Bacteria; Pseudomonadati; Pseudomonadota; Gammaproteobacteria; Enterobacterales; Erwiniaceae. The record is from RNAcentral.
GNUCNGAUUGAACGCGGNCGGCAGGCGUANCACACNCAAGUCGAACGGCAGCACAGAAGAGCUUGCUUUUUGGGUGGCGAGUGGCGGACGGGUGAGUAAUGUCUGGGGAUCUGCCCGGUAGAGGGGGAUAACCACUGGAAACGGUGGCUAAUACCGCAUAACGUCGCAAGACCAAAGAGGGGGACCUUCGGGCCUCUCACUAUCGGAUGAACCCAGAUGGGAUUAGCUAGUAGGUGGGGUAACGGCUCACCUAGGCGACGAUCCCUAGCUGGUCUGAGAGGAUGACCAGCCACACUGGAACUGAGACACGGUCCAGACUCCUACGGGAGGCAGCAGUGGGGAAUAUUGCACAAUGGGCGCAAGCCUGAUGCAGCCAUGCCGCGUGUAUGAAGAAGGCCUUCGGGUUGUAAAGUACUUUCAGCGGGGAGGAAGGGAUGAAGCUUAAUACGCUUCGUCAUUGACGUUACCCGCAGAAGAAGCACCGGCUAACUCCGUGCCAGCAGCCGCGGUAAUACGGAGGGUGCAAGCGUUAAUCGGAAUUACUGGGCGUAAAGCGCACGCAGGCGGUCUGUCAAGUCGGAUGUGAAAUCCCCGGGCUUAACCUGGGAACUGCAUUCGAAACUGGCAGGCUAGAGUCUUGUAGAGGGGGGUAGAAUUCCAGGUGUAGCGGUGAAAUGCGUAGAGAUCUGGAGGAAUACCGGUGGCGAAGGCGGCCCCCGGACA